UACCGACUGGCCUACUAGGUGAGGGCGCGGGGCUUUGGACUCCGAAGGCUUGGUUCGAAUCCAAGGUCGGUAGCCA
This 76-nucleotide transfer RNA is filed under the name Candidatus Saccharimonadota bacterium. Its description in RNAcentral is "tRNA-Gln". It matches the Rfam family "tRNA". From Rfam's summary of the family: Transfer RNA (tRNA) molecules are approximately 80 nucleotides in length. Lineage: Bacteria; Candidatus Saccharimonadota. The record is from RNAcentral.